AGCGUAGACGGAGUGGCAAGUCUGAUGUGAAAACCCGGGGCUCAACCCCGGGACUGCAUUGGAAACUGUCAAUCUAGAGUACCGGAGGGGUAAGUGGAAUUCCUAGUGUAGCGGUGAAAUGCGUAGGUAUUAGGAGGAACACCAGUGGCGAAGGCGGCUUACUGGACGGUAACUGACGUUGAGGCUCGAAAGCGUGGGGAGCAAACA
This 207-nucleotide ribosomal RNA is filed under the name uncultured bacterium. Its description in RNAcentral is "partial 16S ribosomal RNA". It matches the Rfam family "Bacterial small subunit ribosomal RNA", at positions 568 to 774 of the family's 1533-position model. The record is from RNAcentral.